UAGGGAAUCUUCGGCAAUUGACGAAAGUCUGACCGAGCAACGCCGCGUGAUUGAAGAAGGUUUUCGGAUCGUAAAACUCUGUUGGUAGAGAAGAACAAGGACGUUAGUAACUGAACGUCCCCUGACGGUAUCUCACCAGAAAGCCACGGCUAACUACGUGCCAGCAGCCGCGGUAAUACGUAGGUGGCAAGCGUUGUCCGGAAUUAUUGGGCGUAAAGCGGGAGGUGGCGGUUUCUUAAGUCUGAUGUGAAAGCCCCCGGCUCAACCGGGGAGGGUCAUUGGAAACUGGGAGACUUGGGGGCAGAAGGGGUGGUGGGAAUUCCGUGUGUAGGGGUGAAAUCCGAAGAUAUGUGGAGGACAACCAGGGGCGAAGGCGGCUCUCUGGUCUGUAACUGACGCUGAGGCUGGAAAGCGUGGGGAGCAAAAAGG
Molecule: ribosomal RNA, 429 nt
Filed under: Gemmatimonadota bacterium
Lineage: Bacteria; Pseudomonadati; Gemmatimonadota
Description: Gemmatimonadetes bacterium partial 16S ribosomal RNA
Rfam family: Bacterial small subunit ribosomal RNA
Source: RNAcentral